RNAcentral lists this ribosomal RNA (274 nucleotides) under uncultured bacterium. RNAcentral describes it as "partial 16S ribosomal RNA". It matches the Rfam family "Bacterial small subunit ribosomal RNA", at positions 523 to 796 of the family's 1533-position model. The record is from RNAcentral.
AUACGGAGGGUGCGAGCGUUGUUCGGAAUUAUUGGGCGUAAAGAGCAUGUAGGCGGUCUGUUAAGUCUGGUGUGAAAGCCCGGGGCUCAACCCCGGAAGUGCAUUGGAUACUGGCAGACUUGAGUAUGGGAGAGGAAAGCGGAAUUCCGAGUGUAGGAGUGAAAUCCGUAGAUAUUAGGAGGAACACCAGUGGCGAAGGCGGCUUUCUGGACCAAUACUGACGCUGAGAUGCGAAAGCGUGGGGAGCAAACAGGAUUAGAAACCCCGGUAGUCC